AUUGAACGCUGGCGGCAGGCCUAACACAUGCAAGUCGAGCGGGGGUAGCAAUACCCUAGCGGCGAACGGGUGAGGAAUGCUUGGGAAUCUGCCUCGUAGUGGGGGAUAACGUUCCGAAAGGAACGCUAAUACCGCAUACGUCCUACGGGAGAAAGGGGGGGAUCUUCGGACCUCUCGCUAUGAGAUGAGCCCAAGCGGGAUUAGCUAGUUGGUGAGGUAAAGGCUCACCAAGGCUACGAUCCCUAGCUGGUCUGAGAGGAUGAUCAGCCACACUGGAACUGAGACACGGUCCAGACUCCUACGGGAGGCAGCAGUGGGGAAUAUUGGACAAUGGGCGAAAGCCUGAUCCAGCCAUGCCGCGUGUGUGAAGAAGGCCUUCGGGUU
This 384-nucleotide ribosomal RNA is filed under the name uncultured bacterium. RNAcentral's name for it is "bacterial SSU rRNA". It matches the Rfam family "Bacterial small subunit ribosomal RNA", at positions 30 to 424 of the family's 1533-position model. The record is from RNAcentral.